RNAcentral lists this ribosomal RNA (445 nucleotides) under uncultured Clostridia bacterium. RNAcentral describes it as "bacterial SSU rRNA". It matches the Rfam family "Bacterial small subunit ribosomal RNA", at positions 97 to 555 of the family's 1533-position model. The record is from RNAcentral. Lineage: Bacteria; Bacillati; Bacillota; Clostridia.
GGCGGACGGGUGAGUAACGCGUGAGUAAUCUGCCCUUUACAGGGGGAUAACACAGGGAAACUUGUGCUAAUACCGCAUAAAGUAUCGAUAUGGCAUCAUAUUGAUACCAAAGGAGAAAUCCGGUAGAGGAUGAACUCGCGUCCGAUUAGCUAGUUGGUGGGGUAAAGGCCUACCAAGGCGACGAUCGGUAGCCGAACUGAGAGGUUGAUCGGCCACAUUGGGACUGAGACACGGCCCAGACUCCUACGGGAGGCAGCAGUGGGGAAUAUUGCGCAAUGGGGGAAACCCUGACGCANCAACGCCGCGUGGAGGAUGAAGGUUUUCGGAUUGUAAACUCCUUUGAUCGGGGAAGAAAAAAAUGACGGUACCCGAAAAACAAGCCACGGCUAACUACGUGCCAGCAGCCGCGGUAAUACGUAGGUGGCGAGCGUUGUCCGGAAUUACU